GAUGAACGCUGGCGGCGUGCUUAACACAUGCAAGUCGAACGGGAAUUACUUUAUUGAAACUUCGGUCGAUUUAAUUUAAUUCUAGUGGCGGACGGGUGAGUAACGCGUGGGUAACCUGCCUUAUACAGGGGGAUAACAGUCAGAAAUGGUUGCUAAUACCGCAUAAGCGCACAGAGCUGCAUGGCUCAGUGUGAAAAACUCCGGUGGUAUAAGAUGGACCCGCGUUGGAUUAGCUUGUUGGUGGGGUAACGGCCCACCACGGCGACGAUCCAUAGCCGGCCUGAGAGGGUGAACGGCCACAUUGGGACUAAGACACGGCCCAGACUCCUACGGGAGGCAGCAGUGGGGAAUAUUGCACAAUGGGGGAAACCCUGAUGCAGCGACGCCGCGUGAAGGAAGAAGUAUCUCGGUAUGUAAACUUCUAUCAGCAGGGAAGAUAGUGACGGUACCUGACUAAGAAGCCCCGGCUAACUACGUGCCAGCCGCCGCCGUAA
This 494-nucleotide ribosomal RNA is filed under the name uncultured bacterium. Its description in RNAcentral is "partial 16S ribosomal RNA". It matches the Rfam family "Bacterial small subunit ribosomal RNA", at positions 28 to 523 of the family's 1533-position model. The record is from RNAcentral.